RNAcentral lists this ribosomal RNA (497 nucleotides) under uncultured bacterium. Its description in RNAcentral is "partial 16S ribosomal RNA". It matches the Rfam family "Bacterial small subunit ribosomal RNA", at positions 28 to 507 of the family's 1533-position model. The record is from RNAcentral.
GAUGAACGCUGGCGGCGUGCCUAAUACAUGCAAGUCGAGCGAACAGACGAGGAGCUUGCUCCUCUGACGUUAGCGGCGGACGGGUGAGUAACACGUGGAUAGCCUACCUAUAAGACUGGGAUAACUUCGGGAAACCGGAGCCAAUACCGGAUAAUAUAUUGAACCGCAUGGUUCAAUAGUGAAAGACGGUUUUGCUGUCACUUAUAGAUGGAUCCGCGCCGCAUUAGCUAGUUGGUAAGGUAACGGCUUACCAAGGCAACGAUGCGUAGCCGACCUGAGAGGGUGAUCGGCCACACUGGAACUGAGACACGGUCCAGACUCCUACGGGAGGCAGCAGUAGGGAAUCUUCCGCAAUGGGCGAAAGCCUGACGGAGCAACGCCGCGUGAGUGAUGAAGGUCUUCGGAUCGUAAAACUCUGUUAUUAGGGAAGAACAAAUGUGUAAGUAACUAUGCACGUCUUGACGGUACCUAAUCAGAAAGCCACGGCUAACUACGUG